GUAGUAGCUCAGUGGUAGAGCACAUGCCCAGUACAGGUGAGGUACUGGGUUCAAUUCUCAGCACCACA
This 68-nucleotide transfer RNA is filed under the name Marmota monax (woodchuck). RNAcentral's name for it is "tRNA.Thr". The record is from RNAcentral. Lineage: Eukaryota; Metazoa; Chordata; Mammalia; Rodentia; Sciuridae.